This 445-nucleotide ribosomal RNA is filed under the name Apiotrichum porosum. RNAcentral describes it as "eukaryotic LSU rRNA". The stretch from base 73 to 226 matches the Rfam family "5.8S ribosomal RNA". Lineage: Eukaryota; Fungi; Basidiomycota; Tremellomycetes; Trichosporonales; Trichosporonaceae. The record is from RNAcentral.
CCGUUUGAUUGACACUCUGUGUUGAUUUUACAAACAAUAUGUAAAGAAAGUCAAGUUAUUAUAACAAAAAAUAACUUUCAACAACGGAUCUCUUGGCUCUCGCAUCGAUGAAGAACGCAGCGAAAUGCGAUAAGUAAUGUGAAUUGCAGAAUUCAGUGAAUCAUCGAAUCUUUGAACGCAACUUGCGCUCUCUGGUAUUCCGGAGAGCAUGCCUGUUUGAGUGUCAUGAAAUCUCAACCAUUAGGGUUUCUUAAUGGCUUGGAUUUGGGUGUUGCCAGUCUCUGGCUCGCCUUAAAGGAGUUAGCGAGUUUAACAAUGUCGUCUGGCGUAAUAAGUUUCGCUGGUAAGACUUGUGAAGUUUGCUUCUAUCGUCUUCGGACAUUACUUUGACUCUGGCCUCAAUCAGGUAGGACUACCCGCUGAACUUAAGCAUAUCAAUAAGCGG